RNAcentral lists this ribosomal RNA (501 nucleotides) under uncultured bacterium. RNAcentral describes it as "partial 16S ribosomal RNA". It matches the Rfam family "Bacterial small subunit ribosomal RNA", at positions 30 to 523 of the family's 1533-position model. The record is from RNAcentral.
AUUGAACGCUGGCGGCAGGCUUAACACAUGCAAGUCGAGCGGGGGAAGGUAGCUUGCUACCGGACCUAGCGGCGGACGGGUGAGUAAUGCUUAGGAAUCUGCCUAUUAGUGGGGGACAACAUCUCGAAAGGGAUGCUAAUACCGCAUACGUCCUACGGGAGAAAGCAGGGGAUCUUCGGAACUUGCGCUAAUAGAUGAGCCUAAGUCGGAUUAGCUAGUUGGUGGGGUAAAGGCCUUCCAAGGCGACGAUCUGUAGCGGGUCUGAGAGGAUGAUCCGCCACACUGGGACUGAGACACGGCCCAGACUCCUACGGGAGGCAGCAGUGGGGAAUAUUGGACAAUGGGGGGAACCCUGAUCCAGCCAUGCCGCGUGUGUGAAGAAGGCCUUAUGGUUGUAAAGCACUUUAAGCGAGGAGGAGGCUACUUUAGUUAAUACCUGGAGAUAGUGGACGUUACUCGCAGAAUAAGCACCGGCUAACUCUGUGCCAGCCGCCGCCGUAA